This 1110-nucleotide long non-coding RNA is filed under the name Oryctolagus cuniculus (rabbit). Its description in RNAcentral is "lncRNA (ENSOCUG00000035949.1)". Lineage: Eukaryota; Metazoa; Chordata; Mammalia; Lagomorpha; Leporidae. The record is from RNAcentral.
AUGAUUCAUUUUGCAUCACUCAGAAGCGCUGUCCUCCGACAUCUCGUUCAUAAACGCCCAGAGCCCGGAGCCACUUGCUGCACCGCUGAGAAUGACGUACCUCAAGGAGAAGUCACCCACAGCCUUCCGCUGUGCCGCCCGGGAGCACGCGGGACCCCUUCUUACUGGAGCCAAAGUGCACUGCGGGCUGGCGCCUCCGUCCCCUGUGCACCUGCCACACGCGCUCCCUGUGUGUGUGCCGUGCGCAUCUCCAACUCCGUUCCCUACUCGGGUGAGGGGACUGCAAAAAGUUUGUGGAAAAUGGAAGCAAAAACUAAGUUUAUUUGCAAAAAAGUUUUUGAAAUCUCUGUGUGUAAUCUUAAGCAUUUUCCAGGAAAUCUUGGAGAUUCCCAUAUGCACAGAUUUCAAAAUUUUUUGCACAAAAUAAACUUAUCUCUUGAUUUUCCAUUUUCUGUGAAGCCUCUUCGUGUUUCUCUCACACGCGUAUGUGUACACAUGUGCGUCGUUAGCACACUGGACACACACUGCCCAUGGCCACUUCCUCAAUAUUUUAUUGUGCACAUAAAGUUGAACUAUUUAGUCAAUAUCCAUAUGACCACUGGGGUUAUUCUAGGAUUAACAUUUUGUGUGCAGUCAUCCCCCAGUGUCCAGGGAGUGUCGUUCCAAAAACCGCACAGAGACCAGAAUCUCAGCUGGAGCAAGUCCGCCUUGGAAGCUGGCACCGUGUUUGUUUGCCGCGCAUGCGUGCUGCAGCACCCCACCAAAGAUGGCGCUGUGUUUGCAUGGCGCGCAUGCGUGCAUAAGUCCGCCAUGGAAGCUGGCGCCAUGGUUGCCUGGCGCGCAUGCGUGCUGCAGCACCCCACCAAAGAUGGCGCUGUGUUUGCAUGGCGCGCAUGUGUGCAUGAGUCCGCCAUGGAAGCGGGCGCCAUGUUUGCCUGGCGCGCAUGCGUGCUGCAGCACCCCCCCCCCCACCAAAGAUGGCGCCGUCGUAGCCAGGAGUAUAGCGCGUCUCCCGCGUGCCUGCGCCACCUCUGGGUUGCUCGUGAAACCAUACAACGCCCACGCUCCGUCCGCAGUCGGCGCACUGGAUGGCCUAGGGAAGAACGAUAA